Molecule: non-coding RNA, 80 nt
Organism: Megalops atlanticus (tarpon)
Lineage: Eukaryota; Metazoa; Chordata; Actinopteri; Elopiformes; Megalopidae
Source: the annotation of a GenBank genome assembly
GGAGACAGUGGCUCAGGAGGUAGAGCAGUCGACUGAGGUAGACAGGUCGGAAGGUCCCUGGUUCGAAUCUGGCUCCUCCU